ACUCCAUUUUAGCUAAGGUAGCUAAAGGCUGCAAGGACGGGACAGACAAUACAUCAUUUUUACUCACGUCUUCACGCCAUUGGGUGUUUCUUCCGAUGUCUCCUCAGGUUCGGACAUGAUGGAUGCUGUGCAUUCCUCUUGCUUUGACUCCUCAUCGAGAGUUUCAACAUCUGCCAUGUUGAGGUUUUUCUAGCCCCAUACAACGCAAGACGCCUUUGUCGCUACGCAGUUCAAAAUGUGUAGUGGAGAUUUGUGUCUCUAACGCGAGAUUUGGCAGAUGUUGCUAGGCAGCCAGGGUGAAUUGAAUAGUAGAAUAAGAAGGGUUACUGGACAAUAAGCACUAAUAAAAUGGGAUUAUGAAAAGAUUGUGCAAUGAUUGCUCUAAGUACAGAAACUAAGUGCAACCCACUAAGGCAAGGAUCCAUGCACAAGACAAGGCCUGACAAUUUGAAGUGUCUAAUAGAACCAAGCCAAAAGAGUCCAAAACACAUCAGCACACCUUGACACACAGGUUAUCUCGGGGAAUUUUUCUGCUGUUUAAAACCGAAAAAGAAAAAUGGAGCUCUCUAUACCACUUUUAAGCCAUGAAUUAUUGUACGUCGAACACCAGUGAUGACCAUCUCCCUCAUGGCAUGCCUUAUCCUCAGAUCCGAGUCACUGCACCACUGUGACAGAAACUACAUUGCUGAUAUGAAUUUGCACUGCAUAACAGCAAAAAUAGAUAGCCAGAUGCUUCACUGCUGCAUUUGGUUACAGUGAUCAAUCAGAUGACCUGCUGUUUGUUUGCUUUUACAAUGCUGCUUUUUAUUCACUACAGUAAAAUAUAUUUAAAUACCA
This is a long non-coding RNA of Micropterus dolomieu (smallmouth bass), 837 nucleotides long. RefSeq lists it as uncharacterized. The record is from RefSeq and is a predicted model, not a curated record. The transcript is spliced from 4 exons. NCBI's taxonomy places the organism in Eukaryota, Metazoa, Chordata, Actinopteri, Centrarchiformes, Centrarchidae.